RNAcentral lists this ribosomal RNA (380 nucleotides) under uncultured eukaryote. Its description in RNAcentral is "partial 18S ribosomal RNA". It matches the Rfam family "Eukaryotic small subunit ribosomal RNA", at positions 592 to 976 of the family's 1831-position model. The record is from RNAcentral.
CAAUUGCGUAUAUUAAAGUUGUUGCAGUUAAAAAGCUCGUAGUUGGAUUUGUGGCGUACGGUGUGUUCCGGGCACUUGUUGUCUGAGUAACCUGCUGUUGCCAUCCUUGGGUGGAACCUGUGUGGCAUUAGGUUGUCGUGCAGGGGAUGCCCAUCAUUUACUGUGAAAAAAUUAGAGUGUUCAAAGCAGGCUUAUGCCGUUGAAUAUAUUAGCAUGGAAUAAUGAGAUAGGACUUUUUUGCUAUUUUGUUGGUUUGCGCAAAGAGGUAAUGAUUAAUAGGGACAGUUGGGGGUAUUCGUAUUCCAUUGUCAGAGGUGAAAUUCUUGGAUUUUUGGAAGACGAACUACUGCGAAAGCAUUUACCAAGGAUGUUUUCAUUAA